This 2438-nucleotide ribosomal RNA is filed under the name Salmonella enterica. Its description in RNAcentral is "bacterial LSU rRNA". It matches the Rfam family "Bacterial large subunit ribosomal RNA", at positions 593 to 2925 of the family's 2925-position model. The record is from RNAcentral. Lineage: Bacteria; Pseudomonadati; Pseudomonadota; Gammaproteobacteria; Enterobacterales; Enterobacteriaceae.
GUGACUGCGUACCUUUUGUAUAAUGGGUCAGCGACUUAUAUUCUGUAGCAAGGUUAACCGUAUAGGGGAGCCGGAGGGAAACCGAGUCUUAAUUGGGCGUUAAGUUGCAGGGUAUAGACCCGAAACCCGGUGAUCUAGCCAUGGGCAGGUUGAAGGUUGGGUAACACUAACUGGAGGACCGAACCGACUAAUGUUGAAAAAUUAGCGGAUGACCUGUGGCUGGGGGUGAAAGGCCAAUCAAACCGGGAGAUAGCUGGUUCUCCCCGAAAGCUAUUUAGGUAGCGCCUCGUGAAUUCAUCUCCGGGGGUAGAGCACUGUUUCGGCUAGGGGGCCAUCCCGGCUUACCAACCCGAUGCAAACUGCGAAUACCGGAGAAUGUUAUCACGGGAGACACACGGCGGGUGCUAACGUCCGUCGUGAAGAGGGAAACAACCCAGACCGCCAGCUAAGGUCCCAAAGUCAUGGUUAAGUGGGAAACGAUGUGGGAAGGCCCAGACAGCCAGGAUGUUGGCUUAGAAGCAGCCAUCAUUUAAAGAAAGCGUAAUAGCUCACUGGUCGAGUCGGCCUGCGCGGAAGAUGUAACGGGGCUAAACCAUGCACCGAAGCUGCGGCAGCGAACGUAUCACCCAAGACAACUUUACGGAGUUGACGAUUGACGGAGCGAAGCGACGUCAAAGCGUUCAUUAAAGUCGAGUUGGCUUAGGGAUACGUUCGUUGGGUAGGGGAGCGUUCUGUAAGCCUGUGAAGGUGUGUCGUGAGGCAUGCUGGAGGUAUCAGAAGUGCGAAUGCUGACAUAAGUAACGAUAAAGCGGGUGAAAAGCCCGCUCGCCGGAAGACCAAGGGUUCCUGUCCAACGUUAAUCGGGGCAGGGUGAGUCGACCCCUAAGGCGAGGCCGAAAGGCGUAGUCGAUGGGAAACGGGUUAAUAUUCCCGUACUUGGUGUUACUGCGAAGGGGGGACGGAGAAGGCUAUGUUGGCCGGGCGACGGUUGUCCCGGUUUAAGCGUGUAGGUGUGUGUUCCAGGUAAAUCCGGUUCACUUUAACACUGAGGCGUGACGACGAGGCACUACGGUGCUGAAGCAACAAAUGCCCUGCUUCCAGGAAAAGCCUCUAAGCAUCAGGUAACACGAAAUCGUACCCCAAACCGACACAGGUGGUCAGGUAGAGAAUACCAAGGCGCUUGAGAGAACUCGGGUGAAGGAACUAGGCAAAAUGGUGCCGUAACUUCGGGAGAAGGCACGCUGACACGUAGGUGAAGUGAUUUACUCAUGGAGCUGAAGUCAGUCGAAGAUACCAGCUGGCUGCAACUGUUUAUUAAAAACACAGCACUGUGCAAACACGAAAGUGGACGUAUACGGUGUGACGCCUGCCCGGUGCCGGAAGGUUAAUUGAUGGGGUCAGCGUAAGCGAAGCUCCUGAUCGAAGCCCCGGUAAACGGCGGCCGUAACUAUAACGGUCCUAAGGUAGCGAAAUUCCUUGUCGGGUAAGUUCCGACCUGCACGAAUGGCGUAAUGAUGGCCAGGCUGUCUCCACCCGAGACUCAGUGAAAUUGAACUCGCUGUGAAGAUGCAGUGUACCCGCGGCAAGACGGAAAGACCCCGUGAACCUUUACUAUAGCUUGACACUGAACAUUGAGCCUUGAUGUGUAGGAUAGGUGGGAGGCUUUGAAGUGUGGACGCCAGUCUGCAUGGAGCCGACCUUGAAAUACCACCCUUUAAUGUUUGAUGUUCUAACGUGGACCCGUAAUCCGGGUUGCGGACAGUGUCUGGUGGGUAGUUUGACUGGGGCGGUCUCCUCCUAAAGAGUAACGGAGGAGCACGAAGGUUGGCUAAUCCUGGUCGGACAUCAGGAGGUUAGUGCAAUGGCAUAAGCCAGCUUGACUGCGAGCGUGACGGCGCGAGCAGGUGCGAAAGCAGGUCAUAGUGAUCCGGUGGUUCUGAAUGGAAGGGCCAUCGCUCAACGGAUAAAAGGUACUCCGGGGAUAACAGGCUGAUACCGCCCAAGAGUUCAUAUCGACGGCGGUGUUUGGCACCUCGAUGUCGGCUCAUCACAUCCUGGGGCUGAAGUAGGUCCCAAGGGUAUGGCUGUUCGCCAUUUAAAGUGGUACGCGAGCUGGGUUUAGAACGUCGUGAGACAGUUCGGUCCCUAUCUGCCGUGGGCGCUGGAGAACUGAGGGGGGCUGCUCCUAGUACGAGAGGACCGGAGUGGACGCAUCACUGGUGUUCGGGUUGUCAUGCCAAUGGCACUGCCCGGUAGCUAAAUGCGGAAGAGAUAAGUGCUGAAAGCAUCUAAGCACGAAACUUGCCCCGAGAUGAGUUCUCCCUGAGACUUAGAGUCUCCUGAAGGAACGUUGAAGACGACGACGUUGAUAGGCCGGGUGUGUAAGCGCAGCGAUGCGUUGAGCUAACCGGUACUAAUGAACCGUGAGGCUUAACCUU